UGCAGUCGAGCGAGACCUUCGGGUCUAGCGGCGGACGGGUUAGUAACGCGUGGGAAUAUACCCUUCACUACGGAAUAGCCUCGGGAAACUGGGAGUAAUACCGUAUACGCCCUUUUGGGGAAAGAUUUAUCGGUGAAGGAUUAGCCCGCGUCUGAUUAGAUAGUUGGUGGGGUAAUGGCCUACCAAGUCUACGAUCAGUAGCUGGUUUGAGAGGAUGAUCAGCAACACUGGGACUGAGACACGGCCCAGACUCCUACGGGAGGCAGCAGUGGGGAAUCUUAGACAAUGGGCGCAAGCCUGAUCUAGCCAUGCCGCGUGAGUGACGAAGGCCUUAGGGUCGUAAAGCUCUUUCGCCAGAGAUGAUAAUGACAGUAUCUGGUAAAGAAACCCCGGCUAACUCCGUGCCAGCAGCCGCGGUAAUACGGAGGGGGUUAGCGUUGUUCGGAAUUACUGGGCGUAAAGCGCACGUAGGCGGAUUGGAAAGUAUGGGGUGAAAUCCCAGGGCUCAACCCUGGAACUGCCUUGUAAACUCCCAGUCUAGAGUUCGAGAGAGGUGAGUGGAAUUCCAAGUGUAGAGGUGAAAUUCGUAGAUAUUUGGAGGAACACCAGUGGCGAAGGCGGCUCACUGGCUCGAUACUGACGCUGAGGUGCGAAAGUGUGGGGAGCAAACAGGAAUAGAUACCCUGGUAGU
Molecule: ribosomal RNA, 691 nt
Filed under: bacterium SL1.30
Lineage: Bacteria
Description: bacterial SSU rRNA
Rfam family: Bacterial small subunit ribosomal RNA
Source: RNAcentral